RNAcentral lists this transfer RNA (86 nucleotides) under Vandenboschia auriculata. RNAcentral describes it as "Trichomanes auriculatum tRNA-Leu". It matches the Rfam family "tRNA". From Rfam's summary of the family: Transfer RNA (tRNA) molecules are approximately 80 nucleotides in length. Their secondary structure includes four short double-helical elements and three loops (D, anti-codon, and T loops). The record is from RNAcentral. Lineage: Eukaryota; Viridiplantae; Streptophyta; Polypodiopsida; Hymenophyllales; Hymenophyllaceae.
GGGGAUAUGGCGAAAUGGUAGACGCUGCGGACUCAAAAUCCGCUGGUCUUUAUAGGACCAUGAGGGUUCGAGUCCCUCCAUCCCCA